Homo sapiens (human) is the source of this 1225-nucleotide long non-coding RNA. RefSeq lists it as uncharacterized. The transcript is spliced from 2 exons. The record is from RefSeq and is a predicted model, not a curated record. Lineage: Eukaryota; Metazoa; Chordata; Mammalia; Primates; Hominidae.
AGACAAGAAAACAACCAGGGAAGGCACACAGGUAAGUGAAGGCCUCCGGGUACCCAAGUGCUGACAGGCCUUAGAAGACCAAGGACCGACAGGUCCUGCUCCCCCAGAGCUCAGGGGUGCAGACCCCAGGCCCGCCUCCCUCAGACCUAAGUAAGAGUCCAGACUCUAGCUGCCUCCUCCCUCAGACCCGAAGUCUGGGCCCCCAGCCCCUCCUCCCUCAGACCCUGGAGUCCAGGCCUCAGACCCUCCUCCCUUACAUCCAGGAGUACAGGCCCCACCCCUCCUCCCUCAGACCCAGGAGUCCAGUUCCCCAGCCCCUCCUCCGCCAGACCCAGGAGUACAGGUGCUUAUUCUCUGAAGGUAUUCGAUCAACUGGGCUCUGAUUACCUGAAAUACAAACCCAUUUUGGCAGUGACUCCAAUUCCCUUCAGCCCCUGGGGCUGAGGGGCAGCUACAGGGGCCUGGGGAGCCACUGCAGUCCUCACUGCAUGAGGCUCAGGCGGGUCCUCCCAGAGGGGAGUAGGAAGAGCAGGUCUGGCUGUGUCCAGCAGGCUGGGCCCUCUCUGGUGACCUUUGACCUCACAAGGCCUCUUUCCCCAGCCCUGUGGGGAGGCGUUGGGGCGUGAGGUUGAGAGAGACAGAGUGGCCUGGCCUGGCCUGCCCUGUGAGCUGGGUGAGUUGGCACUGAUUCUGGAAGAUGGACGUGAAUGGGCGUGGUCACUUGUCGCUAGACUCUGGGAAACGCUGCUGCUGUUUGACAUCGCACAGUCAGAAGGGAUCGUCUCAGCCAGCCUGCAGCAUCUGUCACUUUGACCAUGAGACGCUGCCUCGAUUUCCAAUCCAGGUGCAAAGCUUCAGAUAGGAGUUUGGGAAGCACAGCAAUCCCCAUCUCUUAUUUUUUUCAACUUUCAUUCCAAGAAAAUAGGACCUUGAGUCCAAUUCCCAGAGCUGAGACUUGAGGUCCAACUCUGCCUUCACCUGCACCCGGCCCUGGAGGUCUGGGCCCCUUUAUUCCAGCUCCCGCACAGGCUGAUGCCCCACCGCACCCCAGGGCUCCGCUCCCCAAAUCACAACCUCCCCACCCCCACGCCUCCCUCAUUACAGGGUCCUCCACCAUGUUUCCCUUUUUUUUUUUUUUUUUACCUCCCCGCCAAUUACUUGCCCCACCUCAUCCGCGUCUACCUGCUCCCCCUCACCCCAUUAAAGCCUCGUGCUCCUUUCCAAA